RNAcentral lists this ribosomal RNA (253 nucleotides) under uncultured bacterium. RNAcentral describes it as "partial 16S ribosomal RNA". It matches the Rfam family "Bacterial small subunit ribosomal RNA", at positions 524 to 776 of the family's 1533-position model. The record is from RNAcentral.
UACGUAGGGUGCAAGCGUUGUCCGGAAUUAUUGGGCGUAAAGAGCUCGUAGGCGGUCUGUCGUGUCGGCUGUGAAAACCCGGAGCUCAACUCCGGGCCUGCAGUCGAUACGGGCAGACUGGAGUUCGGCAGGGGAGACUGGAAUUCCUGGUGUAGCGGUGAAAUGCGCAGAUAUCAGGAGGAACACCGGUGGCGAAGGCGGGUCUCUGGGCCGAUACUGACGCUGAGGAGCGAAAGCGUGGGGAGCGAACAGG